GGUUUCCUCUCUCUGUUUCUCUCUCUAAAAAUGGAUCGUAAAAGCGUGUUUACUGUAGCAUUAAUGUGUGUCAUUGUCGCUGGUGUCGGUGGCCAAGCUCCCACGUCGGCUCCUACUGCUACUCCGGUGACCCCUGAAGCGCCUGUUGCUGCACCAGCUAAGGCUCCUGCAAAACCUAAAUCACCUGCUCCAGUUACCGCUCCUGUAUCUUCACCACCGGCUGCUUCACCUACUAAACAAACCGUGCCAGCUCCGGCUCAGACUCCAUUGGCUACACCACCACCUGCCGCCGCUCCUGUUAGCUCGCCACCUGCCGUCACUCCGGUUAGCUCGCCACCUGCUCCAGUUCCCGUGAGCUCUCCGCCAGCUAAAUCUCCAGCCAAAUCUCCUCCUGCACCUGCACCAGUUACUCCACCAACAAGCUCCCCUCCUGAAACUGCUCCUUCUGUUCCGGUGGUUGCACCUACAGCAGAGGUUCCUGCACCGACUCCAAGCAAAAAGAAGCCGAAGAAGAAGCACA
RNAcentral lists this long non-coding RNA (520 nucleotides) under Manihot esculenta (cassava). RNAcentral describes it as "long non-coding RNA (MESC_LNC008123)". The record is from RNAcentral. Lineage: Eukaryota; Viridiplantae; Streptophyta; Magnoliopsida; Malpighiales; Euphorbiaceae.